GAUGAAGAACGUAGCGAAAUGCGAUAAGUAAUGUGAAUUGCAGAAUUCAGUGAAUCAUCGAAUCUUUGAACGCACCUUGCGCCCUUUGGCCAUUCCGAAGGGCAUGCCUGUUUGAGUAUCAUGAACACCUCAACUCUCAUGGCUCGCCAUGAUGAGCUUGGACUUUGGGGGUCUUGCUGGCCUGUGGUCGGCUCCUCUCAAAUGGAUCAGCUUGCCAGUGUUUGGUGGCAUCACAGGUGUGAUAACUAUCUGCGCUUGUGGUUUUCCAUCAGAUAACCUUCAGUGAUGGAGGUUCGCUGGAGCUCAUAAACGUCUCCCCUAAGCGGGGACAGCCCUUUGAAUGUUUGAUCUCAAAUCAGGUAGGACUACCCGCUGAACUUAAGCAUAUCAAUGAGCGGAGGA
RNAcentral lists this unclassified non-coding RNA (402 nucleotides) under soil metagenome. Its description in RNAcentral is "partial contains 5.8S ribosomal RNA, internal transcribed spacer 2, and large subunit ribosomal RNA". The stretch from base 1 to 121 matches the Rfam family "5.8S ribosomal RNA", at positions 35 to 154 of the family's 154-position model. The record is from RNAcentral.